AAUAUUUUAGUUUAAAUAAAAUAUUUUAUUUACAAUAAAAAGAUUUAAUAAUUAAAAAUAUUG
Molecule: transfer RNA, 63 nt
Filed under: Tetramorium tsushimae
Lineage: Eukaryota; Metazoa; Arthropoda; Insecta; Hymenoptera; Formicidae
Description: tRNA-Val
Source: RNAcentral